ACGCUCGACACCUACGGGGGGCAGCAGUGGGGAAUAUUGCACAAUGGGGGAAACCCUGAUGCAGCGACGCCGCGUGAGCGAAGAAGUAUCUCGGUAUGUAAAGCUCUAUCAGCAGGGAAGAAGAUGACGGUACCUGACUAAGAAGCACCGGCUAAAUACGUGCUAGCAGCCGCGGUAAUCUGAGCGGGCUGGCAAGGC
RNAcentral lists this ribosomal RNA (198 nucleotides) under uncultured bacterium. RNAcentral's name for it is "partial 16S ribosomal RNA". It matches the Rfam family "Bacterial small subunit ribosomal RNA", at positions 328 to 539 of the family's 1533-position model. The record is from RNAcentral.